This 468-nucleotide ribosomal RNA is filed under the name uncultured bacterium. RNAcentral describes it as "partial 16S ribosomal RNA". It matches the Rfam family "Bacterial small subunit ribosomal RNA", at positions 28 to 507 of the family's 1533-position model. The record is from RNAcentral.
GAUGAACGCUGGCGGCGUGCUUAACACAUGCAAGUCGAACGGUGAAGGCGGAGCUUGCUCUGCUGGAUCAGUGGCGAACGGGUGAGUAACACGUGAGCAAUCUGCCCCUGACUCUGGGAUAAGCGCUGGAAACGGCGUCUAAUACUGGAUACGAGCUGCGAAGGCAUCUUCCGCAGCUGGAAAGAACUUCGGUCAGGGAUGAGCUCGCGGCCUAUCAGCUUGUUGGUGAGGUAACGGCUCACCAAGGCGUCGACGGGUAGCCGGCCUGAGAGGGUGACCGGCCACACUGGGACUGAGACACGGCCCAGACUCCUACGGGAGGCAGCAGUGGGGAAUAUUGCACAAUGGGCGAAAGCCUGAUGCAGCAACGCCGCGUGAGGGACGACGGCCUUCGGGUUGUAAACCGCUUUUAGCAGUGAAGAAGCGAAAGUGACGGUACCUGCAGAAAAAGCGCCGGCUAACUACGUG